CCGUGCUCGAUUGUUCUUCCUGGUUACAUCAUUUGUUGUGGCAGUCUCCUUGGUCGCAGGUCUAAAUGCAUUUCUAAUAUCCCGCAAUGAACUUUGAUCUGCCGCAGAGCCCGGCGACAGUCACAGAGAUAUCUCCUAUCUCCCUCCACGGGUUCGCUCUCGUCCCGGUGACCAGCUUGGGGGCGGGGGGUGAACCGGGGAGCCUCGACAUUGCACCUGGCUCCGGAGUGAUACAGGUGUUGUGCCGAAAAUCUCCCCCCCUGACAGAAUUCGCCCCCCCCCCCCUUUCUAAUUUCCUUAAUUUUGUGACUAGAGUCAAAUACCUUCUGUUGCACACAUCAGAGUCAAACACUUUAUAUAGAACAAACCGAAAUUAAUUAUUAAUGUAUCUGUGUUAUUAAACAUAGAGGGAGUAAAAUGUUGGCAAGCAAAAAACAUUUCAGAACAACUAUGGCUGAAUUAUUAUCCUUACACUUUCAAAAAUACUAGUCGAAUAAGACAUGGGAGAGAUGAUGAAUUUUGGCAAAGAGAUUAAUUUAUAGACUAAUACAAAUCAGUAGCGGAUUUAGGUACGGGCGACAUGGACAACCGUCCAUAGCCAAACCGAAAACUGCAGACAAAAAUGGUUUCUGCUACUAAGAUCAGUGAAAUGUAGGCUAAACUGACAACGGAGUGAAAAGCAGAAAUCUCAACUAGCAAGCAAGUCGCAGCAAUGAAGAACGAGAAGGGCAGGGGGGAGAUUGUCGGCACAACACCGGCCGAGGAUGGGACAACACCACCUGUCGCCUUCAUUGCUGGGAAUUGUAUGCGUCCCCACAGAAUCUGACCCUCAUGGUACCAGUGUGUCCUACCUGGGUCAGUUGACCUCAGAGGCAAGACCUGAACUGCAGUCAGAUGCCCCUCCACAGCCCCUCCUGCUCCAAGACAACAUGUCAUCCCUCCAUACCAGUAUGGAGCUCCUCAAGGGGGAACCCCACAGCCCUGCCACCCAGCCCCUGUCUCCCCUCCCUCCCCUGGGCCUGAUGGUGUCCCUGGACCCCUGUCUGCUGCUGGAGGAGGACCAGGAACCACUGGAGUUUCAUACUCAGAUUGAACCAAAGAAACGGAAAAGGUGGCUGGCCGAAGAAGAGGAAACCUCAGAGAGAGUUAACAACACCCAUAGCUCCAACAACAGGGAAUGUUAUUUUUGUGAAUGAGAAGAGAAGCUGCAGCUGAGAGAGGAGCACCUGGACCUCCCUUUCACUGAGAUCAGCCACAUGCUGGGGCUGCAGUGGUCCCAACUGGGCCCCAACGACAAGCAGAAGUACAACCAAGAGGCAGAGAAGGACAAGCAGCACUACAUCACAGGGCUGACAGACUACCAGAACACUGAGGCAUACAAAGACUUCCUCCGGAGGAAAGCCCUGAGCAGAGGACCAAAGCUCUAUGUUGACCCCAGGGAGUUGACAUUGAGAUGGAGGAGGAGACCAUGGCUUUGAAUCCCAUAGAUUACUUCAGCUCUCUGCACUACAAGAAAGAACACCUUCUGGGCAAACAACAUCUGCAGGCCCUCACAGAGGAGUUUGAGAAGGACACAGGCAGCCAACAGCAGGCUCCAGAGAUGGAGAGAGGCCCUGUGGAGGAGGAAGAGGAGGAGGAUGAUGAAGAGGAGGCAGAGUUGGCUCGUACGUUGGGUCUGUCCUCGCUGGACUUCAGUGUGCUGCAGGAGCUGCUGCUCAGACAUAUGAAGCGAGCGCAAAAAGUGUGGAGUCUGAGAUGCAGGUUCUCAGGGCCUCCAGGGAGAGCCUGGACUGUCAGCUCCACACCCUCACCAUGCAACCACUGCUGUUCCACACAGACAGAGGUGGCAGAGAAAAAGAGAGGGAAUGAGAGGGAAGUGAGAGAUAGAGGGAAAUAAAAAGAGAGAGACAGAAAGAGUGGGAGAGAGAGCGAGAGAGGAAAGAGGGCAGCAGUUCUAUAAAUGAAACCUGAUUAGUAGAUUACUGCAUCCAGUUGGAGGGGAUGUGGGUGUUUACUGCUCGGGCACUUUCCAUUCACACUCUGUGACACAAACACACACACACUUUCUGUCUAGUACCUUUGCUCUUGUGUUUCUGAAUGCACACAAAAACCCACCCACACACUCACACACACACGUUUGGUAUUACUGUGCUUUGUGGGGACCUACACAUUGUUUCCAUUCAAAAUAAGAUUUUCCUUAACCCUUAACCCUUAAACCUAACAUUAACCCUAACCCUAACUCAUAACCCUAAACCUAACCCUAAAAUAGCCUUUGUCCUCUUGGGGACUUGGGAAAUGUCCCCAGGUGGGAGAAUGUUCCUUGUUUUACUAUCCUUGUGGGGAUUUCCAGUACCCACAAGGAUAGUAAUAUAAGUCCACACACACACACACACACACACACACACACACACACACACACACACACACACACACACACACACACACACACACACACACGGAUUGGGUAAUAAACUCAAGCCGGAGGUUUGGAAUAAUUUGCUUGUUAUGAGGCCAAUCCCUUUCAUUGUGCUAAUCUCCAUCAGGGUGUUAGGUCUUCACCCAGCCAGGCCAGGGAGGGUUACAGAUGGAGAACAGCAGGGCUGGAGCUAGCAUCAGUUACUUAGUGGUUCAUGGUAGAGAUCACAGUGGUGUUUUGUUCCAGACAAUAGACUCUCUGACCCUCCUAUCAGCCCUAACAUCCUUUCCUUGUCCCUGUCAGGUGGUGACUGGUUUAAAACAAUAGGACAGGGUCCAGCCUCAUGUUAGGUAUUCACUGUAUUGAUGUCACCUAUUAUACAGUUCAUUCAGAUCAGGGAUCAGGAAGGAAUGGCGAUUAAGAAAAAGAUAGAUGUAGACUAUGGUAACAGAAAUAUGAUCUGUAUUCAAUAGAAAGAGUUACAGUAUUUACAGAACUGACGCUGCCCUGUCUCUAGGUAACAGGCUUCUGCAGAAACAGGCUCUGCCCAUCGCUGCCCUGACGAAUUGAUGAGCAGAGCCGCACAGGAAGAAGGGAACCUCGGGUAACCAUAGCAACCAGCCAGGGGUCGUGUGAGAACGGCUCUGGGAGAAGAGGUGGAUGAUGAAGAUGAGGAUAAAGGAUGCAGCCCGGGAGAAAGAAUGGAGGCACUUCAAACAAGGACCGCAAGGGGCGGACCGCAAGGGGCGGACCGCAAGGGGCUGACCGCAAGGGGCUAGUCACCUACAGCUGGCAGCUGUACACGUCUGUUUUUGUUCUGUUUGUGGAUUUGAGUGUUCCUUUGGUUUUGGGGUGGUUUUAUUUGUUUUGAGCGAUAAGUCAGUUCUCACAGCUUUAAGUCUUUUGUAAACUGUUGCAAUGCUAAUGCACACAUACACUACCUAUGUUUGUUGCUAGUGAGUAUGUGCGCAGUAGAAUGUUGCUUAGUUAGCAGCUUUGGUAUAGGACACUGCAUUACAACACCGGGGCAGUGUGUAUGUAUAGUCUAUGUAGCAGCAUGUACAGGCUUUGUUAAAUGUUUUCUUAACAUUGUAAUGAACACACUAGAAUGUUUACUUUCCAACCACUGAAACAAAUAUACCCAUUCCAUUUCCUAUCCUGAGCCCACGUGUUGUUCCCUGCACUGGCCACACAGUAGCUUUUUAUCUUGAUUCUGAUCUAGAUAUUCUAGCUCUGUGUUUUUGUUCUCAUACACUGUUAACUUCACAGACGGCGAUCUGUUUACAUUCCGUUAGGUCUUUGAAUGGACAGGGACAUUCCGUUAGGUCUUUGAAUGGACAGGGACAUUCCGUUAGGUCUUUGAAUGGACAGGGACAUUCCGUUAGGUCUUUCAAUGGACAGGGACAUUCCGUUAGGUCUUUGAAUGGACAGGGACACUCCGUUAGGUCUUUGAAUGGACAGGGAC
Molecule: long non-coding RNA, 3881 nt
Filed under: Salmo salar (Atlantic salmon)
Lineage: Eukaryota; Metazoa; Chordata; Actinopteri; Salmoniformes; Salmonidae
Description: lncRNA (ENSSSAG00000099099.1)
Source: RNAcentral